UUUUAUGGAGAGUUUGAUCCUGGCUCAGGAUGAACGCUGGCGGCGUGCCUAAUACAUGCAAGUCGAGCGAACGGAUGAGAAGCUUGCUUCUCUGAUGUUAGCGGCGGACGGGUGAGUAACACGUGGAUAACCUACCUAUAAGACUGGGAUAACUUCGGGAAACCGGAGCUAAUACCGGAUAAUAUUUUGAACCGCAUGGUUCAAAAGUGAAAGACGGUCUUGCUGUCACUUAUAGAUGGAUCCGCGCUGCAUUAGCUAGUUGGUAAGGUAACGGCUUACCAAGGCAACGAUGCAUAGCCGACCUGAGAGGGUGAUCGGCCACACUGGAACUGAGACACGGUCCAGACUCCUACGGGAGGCAGCAGUAGGGAAUCUUCCGCAAUGGGCGAAAGCCUGACGGAGCAACGCCGCGUGAGUGAUGAAGGUCUUCGGAUCGUAAAACUCUGUUAUUA
This 452-nucleotide ribosomal RNA is filed under the name Staphylococcus aureus. Its description in RNAcentral is "bacterial SSU rRNA". It matches the Rfam family "Bacterial small subunit ribosomal RNA", at positions 1 to 441 of the family's 1533-position model. Lineage: Bacteria; Bacillati; Bacillota; Bacilli; Caryophanales; Staphylococcaceae. The record is from RNAcentral.